CACAGACUUGGCGUGUUGAGAAGACAGAAUUUCACGCCAGGUGCAGCUCACUGUGUAGCACAGCUUGCUUCUGUGAGGAUGCGCAUAGGAUACCCCAAACCUGCCCCUGCUACUGGUUUCCCCAAGCAUCUGUCGAGAGUGUCGCAUUUGCCAGGCGCUGUGCUAGAGCCGAGGGGUUCCAAGACGAGAAGCAAGCGUUCUCCUGACCUGGCGGGGCUCACAGUUUGCCAUGUGACAACUGCGUGGGAUAAAGGCCUGACAGAUGACAAUCACGGUCUCAGCCACACUAUGUGCCACGUGGUCCAGACGGAACAGAAGCCGAGACGCAGAGGUGGCGCAGGCACGGCGCUGGACCCAGGAGGAUGAGCAAGUGUUGGCUGUUGCAUUUUGCUGCAGAGUGGGAGGAAGAUGGGGCGAUGGAACCGGGCGCUGCCUGGAGGCGUUCUCACACCCUCAGAGUGGGAGGGCAUCUCUCUGGCUUCUUUCCCGAUGUCCAAGGACUGCACAAGGCAGAAGAGAGGCUCCGAAGCUGGAAGACAGAAUUUCUCAUCAGGCCUAGCAGUGCCUUUGGGGGCAAAUCGGGCCCACAGGCCUGUUUUGCUUGGCCCCCACAGCAUCAAAAAGGUUCGAGUCUGCAGACCUGUGCCCAGAUGACACGC
This 659-nucleotide long non-coding RNA is filed under the name Equus caballus (horse). Its description in RNAcentral is "lncRNA (ENSECAG00000043737.2)". Lineage: Eukaryota; Metazoa; Chordata; Mammalia; Perissodactyla; Equidae. The record is from RNAcentral.